GGGUUGUGAGGUUAAGCGACUAAGCGUACACGGUGGAUGCCCUGGCAGUCAGAGGCGAUGAAGGACGUGCUAAUCUGCGAUAAGCGUCGGUAAGGUGAUAUGAACCGUUAUAACCGGCGAUUUCCGAAUGGGGAAACCCAGUGUGAUUCGUCACACUAUCAUUAACUGAAUCCAUAGGUUAAUGAGGCGAACCGGGGGAACUGAAACAUCUAAGUACCCCGAGGAAAAGAAAUCAACCGAGAUUCCCCCAGUAGCGGCGAGCGAACGGGGAGCAGCCCAGAGCCUGAAUCAGUGUGUGUGUUAGUGGAAGCGUCUGGAAAGGCGCGCGAUACAGGGUGACAGCCCCGUACACAAAAAUGCACAUGCUGUGAGCUCGAUGAGUAGGGCGGGACACGUGGUAUCCUGUCUGAAUAUGGGGGGACCAUCCUCCAAGGCUAAAUACUCCUGACUGACCGAUAGUGAACCAGUACCGUGAGGGAAAGGCGAAAAGAACCCCGGCGAGGGGAGUGAAAAAGAACCUGAAACCGUGUACGUACAAGCAGUGGGAGCCUCUUAAUGGGGUGACUGCGUACCUUUUGUAUAAUGGGUCAGCGACUUAUAUUCUGUAGCAAGGUUAACCGAAUAGGGGAGCCGAAGGGAAACCGAGUCUUAACUGGGCGUUAAGUUGCAGGGUAUAGACCCGAAACCCGGUGAUCUAGCCAUGGGCAGGUUGAAGGUUGGGUAACACUAACUGGAGGACCGAACCGACUAAUGUUGAAAAAUUAGCGGAUGACUUGUGGCUGGGGGUGAAAGGCCAAUCAAACCGGGAGAUAGCUGGUUCUCCCCGAAAGCUAUUUAGGUAGCGCCUCGUGAAUUCAUCUCCGGGGGUAGAGCACUGUUUCGGCAAGGGGGUCAUCCCGACUUACCAACCCGAUGCAAACUGCGAAUACCGGAGAAUGUUAUCACGGGAGACACACGGCGGGUGCUAACGUCCGUCGUGAAGAGGGAAACAACCCAGACCGCCAGCUAAGGUCCCAAAGUCAUGGUUAAGUGGGAAACGAUGUGGGAAGGCCCAGACAGCCAGGAUGUUGGCUUAGAAGCAGCCAUCAUUUAAAGAAAGCGUAAUAGCUCACUGGUCGAGUCGGCCUGCGCGGAAGAUGUAACGGGGCUAAACCAUGCACCGAAGCUGCGGCAGCGACACUUAUGUGUUGUUGGGUAGGGGAGCGUUCUGUAAGCCUGCGAAGGUGUGCUGUGAGGCAUGCUGGAGGUAUCAGAAGUGCGAAUGCUGACAUAAGUAACGAUAAAGCGGGUGAAAAGCCCGCUCGCCGGAAGACCAAGGGUUCCUGUCCAACGUUAAUCGGGGCAGGGUGAGUCGACCCCUAAGGCGAGGCCGAAAGGCGUAGUCGAUGGGAAACAGGUUAAUAUUCCUGUACUUGGUGUUACUGCGAAGGGGGGACGGAGAAGGCUAUGUUGGCCGGGCGACGGUUGUCCCGGUUUAAGCGUGUAGGCUGGUUUUCCAGGCAAAUCCGGAAAAUCAAGGCUGAGGCGUGAUGACGAGGCACUACGGUGCUGAAGCAACAAAUGCCCUGCUUCCAGGAAAAGCCUCUAAGCAUCAGGUAACAUCAAAUCGUACCCCAAACCGACACAGGUGGUCAGGUAGAGAAUACCAAGGCGCUUGAGAGAACUCGGGUGAAGGAACUAGGCAAAAUGGUGCCGUAACUUCGGGAGAAGGCACGCUGAUA
RNAcentral lists this ribosomal RNA (1721 nucleotides) under Escherichia coli. RNAcentral describes it as "partial 23S ribosomal RNA". It matches the Rfam family "Bacterial large subunit ribosomal RNA", at positions 1 to 1756 of the family's 2925-position model. RNAcentral also lists the same sequence under 1 other name. The record is from RNAcentral. Lineage: Bacteria; Pseudomonadati; Pseudomonadota; Gammaproteobacteria; Enterobacterales; Enterobacteriaceae.